GAUGAAGAACGUAGCGAAAUGCGAUAAGUAAUGUGAAUUGCAGAAUUCAGUGAAUCAUCGAAUCUUUGAACGCACAUUGCGCCCGGCAGUAAUCUGCCGGGCAUGCCUGUCCGAGCGUCAUUUCACUCCUCGAGCCGCUUUUAGUGGAUCGGUGUUGGGGCACUACGGUAAAACGUAGGCCCUGAAAUGAAGUGGCGGUCCCGCCGCGGUGCCCCCAUGCGUAGUAACGUUUAGUCUCGCAUCGGGUCCCGGCGGAGGCCUGCCGUCAAGCCUAUUUAUUCUCAGAAUAGUUUGACCUCGGAUCAGGUAGGGUUACCCGCUGAACUUAAGCAUAUCAAUAAGCGGAGGA
This 349-nucleotide unclassified non-coding RNA is filed under the name soil metagenome. RNAcentral describes it as "partial contains 5.8S ribosomal RNA, internal transcribed spacer 2, and large subunit ribosomal RNA". The stretch from base 1 to 120 matches the Rfam family "5.8S ribosomal RNA", at positions 35 to 154 of the family's 154-position model. The record is from RNAcentral.